ACCCAACUACCCAUAUCUGGGCGUGGAACGAUCGAACAGAGAGGAGAAAGAAAGGGGUGAAACCCUAAUUCAUGAGCAGACCUUCAAAUUGAAAGGGGAAUUGAAGCCUAGUUGAAUGCAUGAACUAAGAAUGAUGAUCCUCUAAGCAUACCCAACAUCAAGAACGUGUCAAGGAGAGGUCAAGCAUAGGAGGAUAACGGGUCAAGAUAAGGCAAGGUGACAAAUACACUUAUUGGAGUACUCGAGGUAAGUGAAUUUCGAUUCACUUUUUAGUAAGUUUAAUAGAUUUUAAUACUUAUGUUUACGAAACAUCAUGAAAGAACAUGUAAUAAUCAGAAGUACAAAGCCAAUAAUGCCUCAUUAUUGAAGAAGGUUGUAUUUAAGCCGAAAGUAAAUUGGUGGGUUUAAACGGGUCGAAUUUUAUGUGCAUAUGUUGCGUAAUGUAAUGAAAUUCGUUAUGGUUAUGACCUUGGGUAAGAAUUUUUAGUCAUUUAUGUAAGGGAAACAUUUCCCGGACCUUUAGGAACAAGUUUUAUACGAUUCGGUUGUCGGUUGGUGAAUGAACGGAUUGUUUCGUGUUAGUGUAGGAAAUUUUAUAAGUAUAUGUGUAUGGGAAUCCAAAAAGGCACGUGGGUUGAAUCAUAGAUUGUCUAUACUAUGUAAGGUUGUGAACGUGUCAUUCCGGCAUAAACCUACAUGUAAACGAAGCUUGUGUAUAUAUUCGUGAUUAAUUGAUUGUGCGUAGGAAGGAACAUUGGCAUGUAUGAAGGUACGCGUGUAUAUAUAUAAGUGUAUAUAUAUAUAUGUAUGUAUGUAUGUAUGUAUGUAUGUAUGUAUGAUAAUAAGUAUGUAGGUGUGAAUGUAUGUAUGAAUGAAUGUUCAAUGCUUAAGACAUAUGCAUGAACGUUAUCAAAGUGUUCGAGUAUUUAUGGUUACUAAUGAUGUGCGUUGAGUUGGAAUGUAAUGUAGGUAUGGGAUCGUUGGCUUCAUGAAGAAAUGGAGCUGGAUUUGGAUAAGAGUAUUUAAGAAAGCGCUUGGACAAUUCCACGACUACUUUAUAGAAUGCUCUACGAAAUUCUAUUAUAUAUUUUAAUGUUGUAUGGUAUGUUAAUGACUAAUGGUUUGGUUGUACGUGGUGUCCACAGGUAUCGCUUGGGUUUUCUCUACAUUUAUUGAAGUGAAUGCGGACUUAGUUCGAGUUUAGAGCAAGGAUUGUACGGGGAGAAUGGUCACAUAGUGUAACUCAUAUAGGUUUUGAAGUAUUAAUGUUAUAAAACGUUAUAAAUCCGUUUUAAUAAAUAUAUGGCAUUUCGCAUUUGAACCUUCAUGUGUUUGAUAUGUCUAUUAAAGAACGAAAUUUUUGGGCUCUUGUUUUCCGCUGCGUCGUAUUUUAAGUUAUUACACGUUAGCUUUACAGGGAAUUGUUCUUAUUACGAACGAGUCAUGCCCGAAUUUUGUUAAAUAAUAGUAUGAUAAUAUUACAUUUUGGAAUGUGUAAUUUGGGCGUAAAAAGUUGGUAUCAGAGCCCUGGUUUGAGGGAAAUCAAGUAUGAGGAGGCAAAUACUUGAACUCAAACCUGUGUGCUCUUGUGACGAGGAACCCGUACAAUCCAAGACUCGAUCAAGAUCUAAAGGUAGAAGCAAAUGUAACUAUGAAUUUAAGUAUGUUUAUGAAGAAACUAACAUUAUGUUGUGUGUAAGAUAAGCAUAGUUGUUUGGAUGAGGAUGAUCCACGACUGUGGUCUCGGACCGACACCAAGGCAUGUAAUAAGACCAUUGCCCAGGUACGUAAAUUUUGCAUAAGGGUGCAUGUAAUGCUAAAAGUUAUCGAGUGAAGGAAAAUUUUAAUGAAAUAUAAUAAUAUAAUGGAAACGAAGUUAUGAAAAUGUUACACGUGCCGAAACCUAAUUCUUCGGACAUAAGGUGACGAUUACACGAAGACACGAAACUAGUAUGUGGAUUGUGUACCUGGCCAGUACACAAGAAACAUAAGACGUUCGUGAGACCGUAAUGAUUGUUACAGGUAUGUCCGAUAGGAUUUGGUAGCGGUUGGGUGUGUGGGUGAAAUGGGUAGUAAGACUCUCGGGAGGUUGAGAGUACUAUGUAAGGGUGAAAGGUAUAAGUGAUAAGAAUGAAAUAUUGAGUCCAUAAGAAAGUAUGGAUUAACAAUGUAUGAAUGCAAUGUUUGAAUCCGUGAGGCGGAUUCAAGGAUGAAAGAUAUGAAUGCAAUGCCUGAGUCCGCAAGACGGAUUCAAGGAUGAAAGAUAUGAAUGCAAUGCUUGAGUCCGCCAGACGGAUUCAAGGAUGAAAGAUAUGAAUGCAAUGCUUGAGUCCGCAAGACGGAUUCAAGGAUGAAAGAUAUGAAUGCAAUGCUUGAGUCCGCAAGACGGAUUCAAGGAUGAAAGAUGUGAAUGCAAUGCUUGAAUCCGCGAAACGGAUUCAAAGAAUGAAAGAUACGAAUGAUGCAAAUCCCUUGCGGAUUUGGUUAUGCUAAAGAAGGUUAUGAUAAUCUAUGCAAAUCGACCGGUUCAAGUUGAACAAGUCGAGUAAGGAUAGGGUACCAUCCGUUUAGAACGGUUGGUCGUGAAUGCAAUAAUAAAUGUAUGAAGCUCAACCCGUUAUACGGAUAGAACGAAAUAUUUAUGUUGAACACAAUUAACUCGAUUUUACCGAGGCGUAAGUGGUAUGCUUGAAUCUCAUUAUGAGAAUAUAUGCCAUUACCCAUUUAAUUAGAUACUCGAGUGCGUAAAAGAAAUGAAAGUAUAUAAGCGAAUGGAACUAAAAUGUUGGUAUUGUAAGCGAAAUAAGUAUUAUGACUAACCUUUAAAACGGGAAGGGUAAGUAUUUGCAAGAAAACACUGGAACAGUGAAGCUAUGAGGCCAUAAGCAUGUUUGAAUUGAAAAAGAGUACAAACGUGUACUUCGAUACGCAUGUAUAUAAUAAGAAAUAAGUGGCAGUUGACCUUGAAAAGUCAAACUGCAGAAGCUGAGAAAUAAUUUGGUUUCAAACCAAGGGAGUGCUAGAGAAGAAAGGAAAUGUGUAGGGUAGUACACCAAAUGAGUUAAAGAAUUACGAAAUAAUGAUUAUGUGUUUACCCGUCAAGAAUGGGUCAAACAAUAAGAAUGAUAUAUAUAUAUAUAUUAAGAAAUGGUCAUGUAUUGACCCGUUAUGAAUAGGUUUAACACACUAGUGCUUUAAAAAGAAUCUUGGAAGUAGUAAUAUGUAAACAAGGAGAAGUAAUAAACAUCAUGUUUAAAUGAACUUGAAUGAAAUGUGAUAAUCCCCAAUCUUAUAAUGAGUAUGGCAGAUAUCAUAGUGUGAUAAACCUAUCAAGGUCAGUGGAAGAAUGUUCAUAAGCGAAAGCUCGUCACACGGAUGAAUGAGGUCAAUACGAAACAUGGUAUGGAUGGUGACGAAGAGGACCGACUCGUUGCUGCAUGUUCAAGUACCGCACCAAGGUAGUAAGGUUAGCAAAUUAUUUAAUAUAUGAAUGUACGAUGCUCGAAUCCCUCAAACCUACGCUCUCGUGAAAGUGUGUUCUAAGCGCCACGCAAGUAAGUGAUUUAAGGAUUUCGAGCUAUGCUUUUAGAUGAAAACGGAAAUGGGUUAUGGAUAAAUUACUAUUAUAACCUGGGUUGGGACGUUAUGGGAUGUUAUGGAAGGUUUCGGGACUGCCCGAGACCAUUUCAGGUUGGAAAAAGGACCCGGGAACAAAAAAUUUUGGUCAAACAGCGUCUGCACACCAGAGAGCCCGUCGGCGACGGCCUUUAUGCCGUCGGCGACGGCACCCAUCCACCCGACGCGCUAACUGUCUGUCUACGGGCAAUGUUCAGCGACGGGACCUUCCCGAGCCCGUCGGCGACGGCCCUUAUCUGCUUAUGCUGAAAUUGUUUGUUUAUUAGGCUAAGGUCCUUAAUUCAGUUCUAGCAUUCAUUAAACACUAAGAACACCCCAGAUUGAUUACGAAUCUAGGAAAUUCAAGACAACUAUCGUGUUUUAAUGAUGAAUGUGUGGGAAGUUAUGUAUGCGAACGAAUGAAAUAAGUAAUACAUCUAGAAUGUUUAUAAAGAAAGAUCGGGUAAGUUUAUAAAAAUUUUACACUAUCAUUGAAAAAGUACCUCCAUAUGAAUAGGUAUGGUAUGUUUAAUGUGUACGAAUGAACGAGAUUGUAUGCGGAAAUGAAUAAAUUAAUGAUGAUUAGGGAUUGGCUUUCGCAAAGAAAUUUAAAAUCUUGAUAAGUAUAAAUAAUAUGUCAAGAUGCUAGUUUUAAAUUAUGGACUAUGGGAUGUGUGAUUAGCCAAUUCCUCAUAACAUAUUUACGUAAGUCGUCCAAUGUAACUUGAAUGAGUGGACGAACGAAGAAUAAGAUUAGACGGGUUGUAGAAGAAAAGAAAGAGGUUUCGGGACGAAACCUUCUUUAAGGGGGGUAGAAUUGUAACGCCCCAAAAUUCAAAUUAUCUAGUUGUUAAUAUGUUAGCACGUUUAAAAAAAAAAAAGAAAAAAAGAAACAGAAUAACUAGGUUAUUAAACCUAGUUAAAAGUUUGGUUAAAAUAAAUAAGGAUAAGAAAUCUAGUUAUAUAAUGAAUAGGUUACAAACAUGAGGGGUGGUUUUUGAAUAAAUAGAAAGAUUAUAUAUAAAAAAAAAAAAACCCAACUACCCAUAUCUGGGCGUGGAACGAUCGAACAGAGAGGAGAAAGAAAGGGGUGAAACCCUAAUUCAUGAGCAGACCUUCAAAUUGAAAGGGGAAUUGAAGCCUAGUUGAAUGCAUGAACUAAGAAUGAUGAUCCUCUAAGCAUACCCAACAUCAAGAACGUGUCAAGGAGAGGUCAAGCAUAGGAGGAUAACGGGUCAAGAUAAGGCAAGGUGACAAAUACACU
This is a long non-coding RNA of Helianthus annuus (common sunflower), 4879 nucleotides long. RefSeq lists it as uncharacterized. NCBI's taxonomy places the organism in Eukaryota, Viridiplantae, Streptophyta, Magnoliopsida, Asterales, Asteraceae. The record is from RefSeq and is a predicted model, not a curated record. The transcript is spliced from 3 exons.